This is a long non-coding RNA of Hordeum vulgare subsp. vulgare (domesticated barley), 238 nucleotides long. RefSeq lists it as uncharacterized. Lineage: Eukaryota; Viridiplantae; Streptophyta; Magnoliopsida; Poales; Poaceae. The transcript has 2 exons. The record is from RefSeq and is a predicted model, not a curated record.
ACUCUAUUUUCAUGCAGUACUAUUCUUUGGAUAUAACCUAUUUCAAGUCAUCCCUGGACUCUCACCUCCUUGAUCUACUCUGGAACAAGUACUGGGUCAACACAUUGUCUUCGUCACCACUUCUGGGUAACAGGGAUUAUGUUGCUGGACAAAUCUUUGAUUUAGCUGAUAAACUAGAGCAAGCUGAAGGGCAACUGGCACACAGUCGAUUUGGCAUGCUUAUGCCAUCACAACGAAA